RNAcentral lists this ribosomal RNA (910 nucleotides) under uncultured bacterium. RNAcentral's name for it is "bacterial SSU rRNA". It matches the Rfam family "Bacterial small subunit ribosomal RNA", at positions 33 to 925 of the family's 1533-position model. The record is from RNAcentral.
ACGCUGGCGGCGUGCCUAAUACAUGCAGGUAGAACGCUGAAGAGAGGAGCUUGCUCUUCUUGAAUGAGUUGCGAACGGGUGAGUAACGCGUAGGUAACCUGCCUUGUAGCGGGGGAUAACUAUUGGAAACGAUAGCUAAUACCGCAUAACAAUGGGUGACACAUGUCAUUUAUUUGAAAGGGGCAAUUGCUCCACUACAAGAUGGACCUGCGUUGUAUUAGCUAGUAGGUGAGGUAACGGCUCACCUAGGCGACGAUACAUAGCCGACCUGAGAGGGUGAUCGGCCACACUGGGACUGAGACACGGCCCAGACUCCUACGGGAGGCAGCAGUAGGGAAUCUUCGGCAAUGGGGGCAACCCUGACCGAGCAACGCCGCGUGAGUGAAGAAGGUUUUCGGAUCGUAAAGCUCUGUUGUAAGUCAAGAACGAGUGUGAGAGUGGAAAGUUCACACUGUGACGGUAGCUUACCAGAAAGGGACGGCUAACUACGUGCCAGCAGCCGCGGUAAUACGUAGGUCCCGAGCGUUGUCCGGAUUUAUUGGGCGUAAAGCGAGCGCAGGCGGUUUGAUAAGUCUGAAGUUAAAGGCUGUGGCUCAACCAUAGUUCGCUUUGGAAACUGUCAAACUUGAGUGCAGAAGGGGAGAGUGGGAUUCCAUGUGUAGCGGUGUAAUGCGUAGAUAUAUGGAGGAACACCGGUGGCGAAAGCGGCUCUCUGGUCUGUAACUGACGCUGAGGCUCGAAAGCGUGGGGAGCGAACAGGAUUAGAUACCCUGGUAGUCCACGCCGUAAACGAUGAGUGCUAGGUGUUGGAUCCUUUCCGGGAUUCAGUGCCGCAGCUAACGCAUUAAGCACUCCGCCUGGGGAGUACGACCGCAAGGUUGAAACUCAAAGGAAUUGACGGGGGCCCGCA